Molecule: ribosomal RNA, 328 nt
Filed under: uncultured bacterium
Lineage: Bacteria
Description: bacterial SSU rRNA
Rfam family: Bacterial small subunit ribosomal RNA
Source: RNAcentral
CGUGUAGGCGGUGUGGUAAGUUGGGCGUGAAAUCCCCGGGCUUAACUCGGGGGGGCCGUUCAAGACUGCCAUGCUAGGGUGCGGGAGAGGGCAGUGGAACUCCCGGUGUAGCGGUGAAAUGCGUAGAUAUCGGGAGGAACACCUGCGGCGAAGGCGGCUGCCUGGACCGUAACCGACGCUGAGGCGCGAAAGCUAGGGGAGCAAACAGGAUUAGAUACCCUGGUAGUCCUAGCCCUAAACGUUGAACACUGGGUGUAGCCCCUCACGGGGCUGUGCCGAAGCUAACGCAUUAAGUGUUCCGCCUGGGGAGUACGGUCGCAAGGCUGAA